CAGCCGCCGCGGUAAUACGAAGGGGGCUAGCGUUGCUCGGAAUUACUGGGCGUAAAUGGAGCGUAGGCGGAUCGUUUAGUCAGGGGUGAAAUCCCGGGGCUCAACCUCGGAACUGCCUUUGAUACUGGCGAUCUUGAGUAUGGGAGAGGUGUGUGGAACUCCGAGUGUAGAGGUGAAAUUCGUAGAUAUUCGGAAGAACACCAGUGGCGAAGGCGACUCUCUGGUCUAUAACUGACGCUGAGGAGCGAAAGCGUGGGGAGCGAACAGGAUUAGAGACCCCCGUAGUCCCUGUCUCUUAUAC
RNAcentral lists this ribosomal RNA (301 nucleotides) under uncultured bacterium. RNAcentral describes it as "partial 16S ribosomal RNA". It matches the Rfam family "Bacterial small subunit ribosomal RNA", at positions 509 to 807 of the family's 1533-position model. The record is from RNAcentral.